This 445-nucleotide ribosomal RNA is filed under the name uncultured bacterium. RNAcentral's name for it is "SSU rRNA". It matches the Rfam family "Bacterial small subunit ribosomal RNA", at positions 26 to 518 of the family's 1533-position model. The record is from RNAcentral.
AGAACGAACGCUGGCGGCAGGCUUAACACAUGCAAGUCGAGCGCCUCGCAAGAGGAGCGGCAGACGGGUGAGUAACACGUGGGAACAUACCCUCCGGUUCGGAAUAACUCAGGGAAACUUGAGCUAAAUACCGGAUACGGUCGAGAGGCGAAAGAUUUAUCGCCGGAGGAUUGGCCCGCGUCCGAUUAGCUAGUUGGUGUGGUAAUGGCGCACCAAGGCGACGAUCGGUAGCUGGUCUGAGAGGAUGAUCAGCCACAUUGGGACUGAGACACGGCCCAAACUCCUACGGGAGGCAGCAGUGGGGAAUAUUGGACAAUGGGCGCAAGCCUGAUCCAGCCAUGCCGCGUGAGUGAUGAAGGCCUUAGGGUUGUAAAGCUCUUUCGCUAGGGACGAUAAUGACGGUACCUAGACAAGAAGCCCCGGCUAACUUCGCGUCAGCAGCCGC